CCCUUAGAUGUCCUGGGCCGCACGCGCGUUACACUGAUGCAUUCAACGAGCUUAUAACCUUGGCCGAGAGGCCUGGGCAAUCUUGUUAACGUGCAUCGUGAUAGGGAUAGAUUAUUGAAAUUAUUAAUCUUGAACGAGGAAUUCCUAGUAAACGCAGAUCAUCAAUCUGCAUUGAUUACGUCCCUGCCCUUUGUACACACCGCCCGUCGCACCUACCGAUUGGAUGGUCCGGUGAAGCCUCGGGAUUGUGGUUCUUGCCGCUUUAUUGUGGCGUGACCGCGAGAACUUGUCUAAACUUUAUCAUCUAGAGGAAGGUGAAGUCGUAACA
Molecule: ribosomal RNA, 328 nt
Filed under: uncultured eukaryote
Lineage: Eukaryota
Description: partial 18S ribosomal RNA
Rfam family: Eukaryotic small subunit ribosomal RNA
Source: RNAcentral